Molecule: long non-coding RNA, 1463 nt
Organism: Maylandia zebra (zebra mbuna)
Lineage: Eukaryota; Metazoa; Chordata; Actinopteri; Cichliformes; Cichlidae
Source: RefSeq, a predicted model, not a curated record
GCUGAAUGCUACAUCCGUCCUGCGACGGUACACCGCCUCCGCACCACCGUUUAAACAUGAAGUGUGGAUGUUAGAAGAUCCCAAAUAUGGAAAUAGUCAGGACCCAGAUGAACCUGUGCUGGAAUUCAGUGUGGGCUAGGGCCUAUUAUAUGCUGUAGCCUGAAGGCAGCUGAGUUGCAGAGGAUGGAGUGAUCACUGGCUUUCUACUUACAGGGUGGUGGGUCUCAGAGGACAAUUGCUACCCCUGUUGAAGUGAACAACGUGUGGAGUGCAACUGGCUUUGUGGCAUAGCUGGCUCUGGCCUUGGACUGUGUGUUUUUACUUUGUACCUAAAUGGGACACUGGACUUUUAACUAUUAUUCAUUGUGUUUAUAAAUAAAAUUUUAGAAUUUUAUUGACUGUCAUCUUUUUGCCCACCGCGGAGACGGUUGGUCAGACCUAGAAUCUCUUUAUGUGUGUGUGUGUGUGUAACAUCAGCAGGGUUUCGCAUAAAAGAGUGUGAGCAGGUCAAAAGGUCAAUUCAUUUAUUGUAGUUUUAUGGCAGCACCUUCUAGUGGCCUUGAAGCAAACAGUCUCCUAACUAAGCCAUGGCAUCUCCGGUCUCUCCUACUUUUGUGUGCUGUGCUGGAGGAGCAGCAUUGGAUCUAGUGAUACUGAGUAAGCUGAUUAGGACCGGCCUGGAGAAAUGUGGUUUGCAUGAAGUAUCAGGAGAAAAACAACCUUGUAUUGUAAAAUAAUAAUACACGAAUAAUAAAUACUUUUCAUGACAUUCAGAUUUCUGGACUCACGAGUUCAUAGAACAUUAAUGUUACGAAACAUUGAGAUAAGUCUUAAAACUACAUUGUAUACUUAUUAUUUAUUUACUUUAAUCAGAUUUGACUGGUAUUUUUAAACAUUAAGUUUUUGUUCCUUCAACUAUUGUAUUUAAGCUUAUGACUCACUCACAGUAUGUUUAUAUAACUGUCUAAAAAACAGUGAGGAUGUGGCCGCAGUGGCUGAGAAGCAAGAAGUUUGCUUUUUCUUUUUUUUUUCUUUUUUUUAAAUUGGGAAGCAUAAAUGAACAUACCAGAAAACCCUGCACGAAGGAGCCAUAUUUGUUUUUUGUGUGUGCAUAAGAUGAAGCUUUAGUAUUAUUACACAUAUGAUAAUGGUGUUAGCAUGCAACACACAAACUCAAGUGGUGUUGCCAAGAUAGUUGCUGACUGGCAAGAAACUUCUAGAAGAAAUCUGGUGACAGUCCAAAGCACAAAUGAACAUGUUUAAUACUCGUGCAAGACCCUGUGGGAAGGUGCCAGAUUGCUGUAUUUUGUGUGAAUCAGGAAAAGUGCACGGUGAUGACUAAAGCUUAUAAAACAUCUCUCUCCUUAUGUGUGCAUAUAUGAGAAAGAAAAUUCUGCCAAAGCAACUUUAGCUUCUUGCAAGCAUCAGUACACAAAGGAUGCUAACACAAAGCUAGCCAAGAA